RNAcentral lists this transfer RNA (75 nucleotides) under compost metagenome. RNAcentral's name for it is "tRNA-Cys". It matches the Rfam family "tRNA". From Rfam's summary of the family: Transfer RNA (tRNA) molecules are approximately 80 nucleotides in length. Their secondary structure includes four short double-helical elements and three loops (D, anti-codon, and T loops). The record is from RNAcentral.
GACGGGGUGGCCGAGUGUCUAGGCACUUGCCCGCAAGGCAAGGGUAGGGUGGUUCGAUUCCAUCCCCCGUCACCA